This 254-nucleotide ribosomal RNA is filed under the name uncultured bacterium. RNAcentral's name for it is "partial 16S ribosomal RNA". It matches the Rfam family "Bacterial small subunit ribosomal RNA", at positions 524 to 776 of the family's 1533-position model. The record is from RNAcentral.
UACGUAGGGGGCAAGCGUUGUCCGGAUUUAUUGGGCGUAAAAGGCUUGUAGGUGGCCACGCCAAGUCGGAUGUGAAAUCUCCCGGCUCAACUGGGAGGGGUCAUUCGAUACUGGUGGGCUCGAGGCCGGUAGGGGGAAGUGGAAUUCCCGGUGUAGUGGUGGAAUGCGUAGAUAUCGGGAGGAACACCAGUGGCGAAGGCGGGUCUCUGGGCAAUUCCUGACGCUGAGGCGCGAAAGCGUGGGAAGCAAACGGG